AUCCAGAUGACGAGUCCCAAAUAGGGGGAAAUGCGCAUCCUGGAU
Trichobilharzia regenti is the source of this 45-nucleotide non-coding RNA. The record is from Rfam. Lineage: Eukaryota; Metazoa; Platyhelminthes; Trematoda; Strigeidida; Schistosomatidae.